AUGGGUGACUACACAAUCCGGAUAAGCACCAGCUUGAUCGACCAGCUCACACGCGAUGACGAGAAGGUGAAAAGGAGGACCAGGAAACCCAAGCCGAAGAAGGUCGUGGAGCGACAAGAGGAGCCUCAGGACAAUGGCCGGGAACUUCCAAGCGAGCCCAAGAGCAGCCCUGCCCCCGCUCCUGGGUGGGCGCUGCCGCCCCCCAUGUACCUACCAGUGACCCCUGCUCCUCCACCACCCCUGCCGGCAAUCCAGGAAGUUGAAACCAUACGCGACGUGGUGGCGGAGAGCGAGAAUGUGCUGGAGAAGCUGCAGAAGCAGGAAGCGACGAUGCGUGAGGAGCUUACCAGGAGGGCCAAGGAGCUGCACGACAAGGAGUUCAAGCUGCUCUACCAGAACCCCUCGCCGUGCACCGACGAGAGGGCAGGCUGCACCGAUUGCUACCGGAGCAACACCCAGGAUCCGCUCAAGUGCGCCGAGGCGGUCAAAAGGUUCGAGGCGUGCGUUCGCAUGGCGAGUCGGAUGGGGGCUGCUCAGUGA
Molecule: ribosomal RNA, 540 nt
Filed under: Triticum aestivum (bread wheat)
Lineage: Eukaryota; Viridiplantae; Streptophyta; Magnoliopsida; Poales; Poaceae
Description: partial small subunit ribosomal RNA
Source: RNAcentral